GGCCGGGAACUCAAAGGAGACUGCCAGUGAUAAACUGGAGGAAGGUGGGGAUGACGUCAAGUCAUCAUGGCCCUUACGAGUAGGGCUACACACGUGCUACAAUGGCAUAUACAAAGAGAAGCGACCUCGCGAGAGCAAGCGGACCUCAUAAAGUAUGUCGUAGUCCGGAUUGGAGUCUGCAACUCGACUCCAUGAAGUCGGAAUCGCUAGUAAUCGUAGAUCAGAAUGCUACGGUGAAUACGUUCCCGGGCCUUGUACACACCGCCCGUCACACCAUGGGAGUGGGUUGCAAAAGAAGUAGGUAGCUUAACCUUCGGGAGGGCGCUUACCACUUUGUGAUUCAUGACUGGGGUGAAGUCGUAACAAGGUAACCGUAGGGGAACCUGCGGUUGGAUCACCUCCUUACCUUAAAGAA
Molecule: ribosomal RNA, 415 nt
Filed under: Klebsiella aerogenes
Lineage: Bacteria; Pseudomonadati; Pseudomonadota; Gammaproteobacteria; Enterobacterales; Enterobacteriaceae
Description: bacterial SSU rRNA
Rfam family: Bacterial small subunit ribosomal RNA
Source: RNAcentral